AACGAACGCUGGCGGCAUGCCUAACACAUGCAAGUCGAACGAACCCUUCGGGGUUAGUGGCGCACGGGUGCGUAACGCGUGGGAAUCUGCCCUUUGCUUCGGAAUAACAGUUAGAAAUGACUGCUAAUACCGGAUGAUGUCUUCGGACCAAAGAUUUAUCGGCCAGGGAUGAGCCCGCGUAGGAUUAGGUAGUUGGUGGGGUAAGGGCCUACCAAGCCGACGAUCCUUAGCUGGUCUGAGAGGAUGAUCAGCCACACUGGGCCUGAGACACGGCCCAGACUCCUACGGGAGGCAGCAGUGGGGAAUAGUGGACAAUGGGCGCAAGCCUGAUCCAGCAAUGCCGCGUGAGUGAUGAAGGCCGUCGGGUCGUAAAGCUCUUUUACCAGGGAUGAUAAUGACAGUACCUGGAGAAUAAGCUCCGGCUAACUCCGUGCCAGCAGCCGCCGUAA
RNAcentral lists this ribosomal RNA (449 nucleotides) under uncultured bacterium. RNAcentral describes it as "partial 16S ribosomal RNA". It matches the Rfam family "Bacterial small subunit ribosomal RNA", at positions 29 to 523 of the family's 1533-position model. The record is from RNAcentral.